This 634-nucleotide ribosomal RNA is filed under the name uncultured Marinobacter sp. RNAcentral describes it as "bacterial SSU rRNA". It matches the Rfam family "Bacterial small subunit ribosomal RNA", at positions 870 to 1504 of the family's 1533-position model. Lineage: Bacteria; Pseudomonadati; Pseudomonadota; Gammaproteobacteria; Pseudomonadales; Marinobacteraceae. The record is from RNAcentral.
CGCCUGGGGAGUACGGCCGCAAGGUUAAAACUCAAAUGAAUUGACGGGGGCCCGCACAAGCGGUGGAGCAUGUGGUUUAAUUCGACGCAACGCGAAGAACCUUACCUGGCCUUGACAUGCAGAGAACUUUCCAGAGAUGGAUUGGUGCCUUCGGGAACUCUGACACAGGUGCUGCAUGGCCGUCGUCAGCUCGUGUCGUGAGAUGUUGGGUUAAGUCCCGUAACGAGCGCAACCCCUAUCCCUAGUUGCUAGCAGUUCGGCUGAGAACUCUAGGGAGACUGCCGGUGACAAACCGGAGGAAGGUGGGGAUGACGUCAGGUCAUCAUGGCCCUUACGGCCAGGGCUACACACGUGCUACAAUGGCGCGCACAGAGGGCUGCAAACCCGCGAGGGGGAGCCAAUCUCACAAAACGCGUCGUAGUCCGGAUCGCAGUCUGCAACUCGACUGCGUGAAGUCGGAAUCGCUAGUAAUCGUGAAUCAGAAUGUCACGGUGAAUACGUUCCCGGGCCUUGUACACACCGCCCGUCACGCCAUGGGAAUGGAUUGCACCAGAAGUGGUUAGUCUAACCUUCGGGAGGACGAUCACCACGGUGUGGUUCAUGACUGGGGUGAAGUCGUAACAAGGUAACCGUA